GGGAAUUGCACUUUAGAAUGAAUAAAUUUAUGAUAAUUUGGAGAAAUAUCUUUUCAAGGAUUUCGUAAAAGAAUAUUAUCAACUAUAAAAAAUAUAUUACAUAACUGAAAUUAUUAUCUUUUUGGUAACAUAAAAGAUUGUUAUAUAAUACAGCAAACAUCUAUAUAGUAUAGGACUGGAAAAAGAAUUCUAUGGCAAAUGAUCUACAUUACAGAGAAAAAUAUUGCUAUAUAUGCGAGGCAUAAAACUUCUUCAAAUUCUUUUCAGUUUUUACUUUUUUCUCCAGAAAAUAUUUCAAGGUCACAGUUGAGUUAGCUUUUCAUAUAGUACACAUAAAUCUUUCAGUAAUAUUUAUGGUCUGUGUAGCGUAAUCUGGUUGUUAUCUAAUAAUUCAGUACAAAAAUUUCAUUUUCAAAUUUCUUCUUUUUUUAGAAACUGGAGAAGGGAAAAGCAUUUACUGUUGCGUAAACCAGUCGAAUCUUCUGACGUGUACAUUAAAUAACUGUUAUGAAACAUCGCGCUAUGGACAAAGAAAAUUUCUUCCUAGUAGAUUACUUGCACGAGUUUUUAUGGAUCAAAUGCAGAGAUUGAGUUCAUUAUAUUGCAAAUGCGUAUUACGAAUUUUUUGCAUUAGGCCCUACCUUCCAAAUACAAAUCUAAUGGCCUAAUAUCUAAUGAUUAGUUAUAGAAUAUGCCAUCUUUAUUUUGAGUAAAAACCUGAGACACCCUAUAUAUGGGAAAUAUAUUGCUGCAGUUGUGUUCAGUGAAUUCUGUGUUACAAAAUAAGCGUUGAUUCCGGUUCGAUAGCUGUUACAAGAUUAAUAAGCACGCUCGUAAAUUAUCGUCGGGCACGAUACAAGUUGCGCACCACUGAUUUAAUGGAUGACUCUCCCGGCUUGGUGUGGUAAUCACAGUAAAAAAUCUUUCGUUCGAACGAGCUUUGGAUCCUUGGUAAUUUUGUCGUCAACAACACUCCGUGCUCCUCUGCCCUUUAAUUAUGUAUUACCAAGAGAUCUCGAAAAAUCUACGUGAAAAACGCGGUUGUCGUGUAAAACUAUGGUUCUGCUUGGUUCAACGACAUUGUAGCUGAAUACGAUGGUUGAAUAGCGUGGAAUAAUUGGGCGAGAUUCAUUAUUUGUAUGGAAAUGGUACAGUUAGAUAAUAGACGGAUGUUUAUGCAAAUUUAUGUUAUUAUGAAUAUGAUUCAAAGAGUGGAAUCCAUAGAGCAAUUAUUUAUUCACUAAAUAUUAUUACAAAUGCUAUGAAAACUGUAGAAGAUAAACCUAUUCUUUUUAAGUAUUCAACAUGUUAUAUACCGAUUUAAUCUUUGUACGAUUGCAAUAGAGUACUUUGACACUAAAAAUCCCUAUAAGAAAUGAAAACAAUUGAGAUUGUAGCGAGAGUUGUUAUCCAAAGUUUUGGAAAUUUUUUUACGGGAUAAAAACAUGAUAAGACAUUUUGAUUCCUUUUUACAGGCAAGCUCUGUUGCAAUUCAUUUUAUAUAUCGAGCAUUGGAUUUUUCGAAUUUAAUACGUCAUUAAUUAAUACUAUCAAAAUGAAGCAAACUCUGAAAUUGAUCUAAGCUCUUGAUCAUCUAUGAACUAUGAAUAUAACACGUAAACACCCAUAGUAUAAUAAUAAAAAAUAGUAAAAAAAUUCAAAAAUUUUUUACAUGACUAUACGAUUAAAUGGUUAUGCAAUAGUUGCGGAAUAAUUUUGAUAACAAUCAGACAUGAUCUGAUAAUCAUAAUUUGCAAUUUUCAUUAAAAUUCGAAGUGAGCUAUGGAACGAUAUCAAGGGAAGAAAACUCGUAAACUUGUUAACGGCGGUAAUUAAAGUGGUUGGUGAAGAAGUCUGACACUAUUACAUGAACGGGAUAAUAAUUGCUUCAUAAUGAUAUUUCUGAUGAAGAUAAUGUUUCACGGAUAGUUGUUGCCACCUGUACUUUUGGAAUUUUUUUCCUUCUUUUCCAUAUUUUUGUGAGUAAUAAGCUUGCCUCAUCAUGCGCUGUAUGAUUUCCAGGCCAGCCGCUAUUUGGCACAUUUUCAAUAUUUUUUUCCAGUCAUGCUUGCUUAACUUUUUGUGUAUCAUUACUCUUCUUUCCCUCUAAAAAUUUAUUUCAUGCGUGGUUGUACGUAUACAUGACUAUGUUAAGUAAUAUAUACACGAGCAGAAUUUUUAUAGUGGGCCUUAUACAAAGAACUUUCCUCGCCGAGUUUCUUACGUGAUUACAAAAAUUCCUUAAAAAUUGUAUCUUCAUAAAAGCCAAGUAGAAUCUGACCCAAUACAUUGUACAAACUACUACAGUGAACAAAUAUGGGAAACAAAUCUCAUAAGAUAAAAUUGAACGAAGUCGUAAUAUCAGUUAUGUUUCAGGCCUAACUAAUGAUUACACUAAAGACUUUUACGCUCUCAUAUGACAUUUAAAAGUGUAAAAGCGCAAAGGAUAGAAAUAAUGUGCAAAAUUGGUGUAGAAAAGAUGAAACAAUUCUUUGUCUAAGUUUUACUCUUUUUAGUUGUCUUGCAGUUUAUUGAUGAUGAUCGAAAGUAACUUGGAUCUAUUUUCAGGGAACCGAUGGAAGUUCUUUAUUCUGAAGCAAGAGGACCAAGUGGAAAGGCAGAGACUGGCUAUUAGCGUACGAAAUAACGCCACAAUGUACCGUAAGCCUUGGUUGAGCCUUCACGCAUGGUGGAUCGAAGCGGACAGGACAGGAGGAACAGGCAAUAGCACACGAUCGAUUCGUGGCUCGUUACAGAGAGUCUGGUCGAAAGUUCGAACGAGGCCCGUACAUUAAUAUUUCCGUUAUUGCGCGCACGAGCACCGAGGUUAUGCCUUUCACACAGCCAAGUAAUAAUACGGAAAGUGAUCGUUCCUCUCCCAGUCGGCUGAUCGAUCACGAUACGGAUUUUAACGAGCCUUCAUCCGAUUAACGCCCCACUGAUCACGCAAAUCUGACUUCAGCCUACUUUAUUAACUUUUUUAUGAUGUUACAUUAAGCAGAAGAUCGCACUUAGUGUUAAUAGAAAUUUAAUGGAUUAUAGAAGGACACACAUGUAAUUUUAAUUGCUAAAUGGAAUAUGUUUUUAACGUAUAAGAUGAGAAUAAUUAAGGAAAAAACAAGUAUAAGCAGUUUGAAACAGGUUAGAGGAUUAGUAAAGUAGAAUUAUGGAUGCUGAACAGAUAGCGUAUGUUGGAAAAACCCAAGUGAUUAAUUAAUCAUUGGUUUAAAUGGUACUUGUGUCAGGAUAGUAAUAGAGCAAUUAGUAGUAGAGUAAUUAUCAUUCGAACAUGGGAUUCUGAGGUCUCUGUGGUUUCAUAACACUGCUAGAUCCAUUCAAUCUUGGAUUUCCUUUCGAAGAAGUUGUUGAUCGACUCUUAAUACGGCACAAAUAACUACUACACUCUGUUCAUAGAAUUCUUGCACUGAAACGUUUUCGACUUGUCAAUGUUGUAAACACAGACUCAUGAAAAGAGACAUCUUUUCAAUUAUUUGACCUAUCGUAAUUCAAGCUUUAAAAUGAGAUAGCUAAAUGUACUAAAUUUUAAUCAGCUUGAACAACGAAACUCUAAAUUAGUUAAAUUAAUUGUCAAGACAAGGAUCUUAAAGAAUCAAAACAAGCCACAAAUCUCAACUCGGAAUAGCAUUCAGCUUCCAAUCUUACAAUCAAACCAUAACAAUAACAGCAAUAA
Molecule: long non-coding RNA, 3691 nt
Organism: Bombus pascuorum
Lineage: Eukaryota; Metazoa; Arthropoda; Insecta; Hymenoptera; Apidae
Exons: 2
Source: RefSeq, a predicted model, not a curated record